Molecule: long non-coding RNA, 2064 nt
Organism: Panicum hallii
Lineage: Eukaryota; Viridiplantae; Streptophyta; Magnoliopsida; Poales; Poaceae
Exons: 3
Source: RefSeq, a predicted model, not a curated record
GCCCACCUUGAUGGGUUAUACCACCAGAACGGUUGAAGAAGCUCAGCCAGUAGGAUAGCCCUCCCAGAUCUGGCCGGUUGCUUCCGCCUUCGUCCCCAAUUCGGGAAAGCCGACGAUGAUGAUAAGUCUGUGUAACGGGGUUUGGUUCCUAUAUCUCUCGCCGGUCCCCCUUUCGUGCUUUCUCUCUUCGUGUCGAGUUCUUGCUGCGCCUUGGCACUUUGCAGCGGUGGUCGACGAUGGGAUGGGGCGGGGCGCUGGACAUGGUGGUACUGUGGCUGACAGAAGAGAGUGAGCACGCAGCGGCACAGACUGCAUCUGAAUACGGCUGCUUCUUGCGAGAUGAAAGACGACGGGUGGAUGGAUGGAUGCCUAGACGCAGCUGCUGUUGCGUGCUCACUUCUCUCUCUGUCAGCUCUCUCUCCUCCUCGGGACUUGUUCCGCCGCAUCCAUCUCCCCCCUCCCACUUCCAUCAUCCAUCGCUGAUCGGUGCGCGCCGCUGCGUCGUCGUGCAGACGUUCUCGCAUCGGUCGCCGUGGCCGUGCCGGCUGUGGCGGUACUGUUCGUCUUGUUAGGCGCUGCCGGCCUUGCCGUGUCCCCACCUGCAAUCUUAUCUUGUCUCCUGCUCGGAUUCCUACGGCCUGCCCUUUGGAACAAGGUACUCUUAAAUUUCAGGCAGCCGCCCCGCGCAUGCACGCCAUGGAUCCUCGCGCCGGCCGCGUUUCUUUUCUCGGCGAGGUUGUCGUUGCUGUCUUUGUGGCUUCCGAUAAUGGAUUAUUAGCAGGGGCCUUCAGCCUUGGGGGAGGAGGACGCGUGAUGGUUUGAUUAACACCUGGCUUUGCUCGCCUCCCCAGGUGUGCUUAACGGAAAGCACUGUUUGACUAGUCCUUGCUACCCCUUCUCCCUCCUCCUCUCUCACUUAUGUACUCUUUCCUCUUCCUUUCCGUAAAGAUUUGACAGCAAAAACUGGAUCUUUUUGCCCUCUUGUUUUGCUCAUCUCAUGUGGUGCGCUGUGAGUGCUGGGAAGUAGGUGCCUAGGCAGGAGGCAGCCAUGAAGACGGUGGUCGGAGGCAGAUCUGCGAGGUGCAAGUGGAAAGGGAGGGGGGCACCUACCGCCGCCGCCGGCGACUACCAGAUCUGGAAAUGAUGUUUCUUCCCCGGCCGGUGCCAGGGCGCAAAAUGCCAUGACAUACGGAGAAACCUGGACAUUUGGAACACCCUGCCGCCACAAAUGUGUUUUUUGCUCCCAAGAGACAGAAUCAUAUUUCAUAUGCAGCGUCAUAAUGUUGCAUAGGAAGCCAUGCACGAAGACCAGGAGCUUUCAACUCACCUAUAUAUUCUGCUAUUACCAAUGAUGCGAACUGGAAGUAUUUUCUUUCCUUUUCUUUUCUUUUUUUCGUUUCAUUGUUGUCACAAUGUCACAGCUCUGGGAGAACAUAAUCAUAUUUUGUGGCUUGAAAUAUCCUGAAACUGCACCCCUGCAAGUUUCUCUUGAAGGAUCAGUGUGCUGCAUCAAGGAAUAAGUUUAUAUGUUGUUUUGAUAUAUGGAAACCUAGCUUUGGAUAAACGGUUCGCCUACCAUGAAAUUCCUGUGUAGGGUUCGUGUGCAGAAGUUUUAUUUAUUUUAAAUUCUGGGGGCCACCUCUGCUUACGUUUUCCUUUCAUUGUCUCGUCUGAUUGCCCCUACGACCUUAUCUAUUUUAUUUAACAUGACAUAAUUUACUGUCAUUUCAUGGCAUCGCAUACUGUCAUUUCUUGAUAUUCCACCAAGCUGCAGCCCACGGGCAGAAGUUACUUCUCAGUUCUCACUAUCGUGCCAGCGGCCUUGCGCUGCAGCGCUGGUCUCGCGCUGCGGUUGUAGAGAGUUAGGUCCUCAUGCCAAGGUGGGGGUGGAAGUGGAACAAGAAUCAUGGUGCGUUUCUUCUCGCCUCUCAGACUCAGGCGCUCGUCACUUCGUCGUCUCUCUGCAUGCAUCCCCUCCCGGCUCCCGUCCUGAAAAUGAUCUCAAAUAUUCUCCGUGUCAACCUCCCAUUAGGUACAUUAUCACUUACCUCACGAUUCGGCAGG